Molecule: long non-coding RNA, 815 nt
Organism: Cololabis saira (Pacific saury)
Lineage: Eukaryota; Metazoa; Chordata; Actinopteri; Beloniformes; Belonidae
Exons: 3
Source: RefSeq, a predicted model, not a curated record
UGGCAGCCUGGGCCCAGCAGGAUCACCUGCGGAGUGGAACCACCCAGCUGUUCACCAAGGAAUGCUGACCGGCCAAACCACCUUUUUCUUUAACUACAAAGAUCCACUCCAAGACGCGAAAAACACAUGGAAACGCACAACAAGCACACGAGCCCUGGAAAUCUGCAAGAGAAAAAAACAAACUGACACGAGAACAGGCAGAGACACUAGCAGCAACCAUCCCAGGUACCCGGGACCCAAUCAAAGCUAGGCUAGGCUACUGCGACUAUCUGAACCCCAAAACUGUGGAGUAAGCAUGCAGGGCUCUUACAUACCAGCCAGGCCAGCCCGUCCCAGGCCGACGAGGGAACCUGGGUGGAGUUGGCCCCUCCAAAGACGUUAAGUAUCCUUGUUAAGUGUAUCUCUAUAAAAUGCUGAGUGUGUAUUCUAAGAUGAUAUUAAAAUCGUGGGGCGGGGAAUACCGGGGCAUGUGGGACAGUGUCCCCCACGCCCCGGACCCCCCGACCCCUCGGACCUAUGUGUGCGGGGCCGGCCCACCGAGCUGGGCCAGGGCCCCACCGCACCCCCAGGAGCAGCCCCCCGGCGCCACCGGAGCCACCAGGCGGAGGAGGAAAUGGCACAACAUCCUUCCAUUCACACUGACGACAGAUAACAUAGACACCUGGGAAUGACUCCCCUCGCCUCGCAGCGCCCCUUGUGACCAAGAGAUCUGGUCAGUGUUGAGAGAGAGGUCCGCCUCCCAUUUUGAGAUCGGAAGAGAGACUGAGUUAUCUAUUAACCUGUAGAGUUUCGAUAGCAAUUUUGGGGUGUUUAGA